RNAcentral lists this unclassified non-coding RNA (347 nucleotides) under Hevea brasiliensis (rubber tree). Lineage: Eukaryota; Viridiplantae; Streptophyta; Magnoliopsida; Malpighiales; Euphorbiaceae. The record is from RNAcentral.
GAGCUCUGCUAAAUAAAUCAAUAUUAAAUGACCGAGUAUCAGGGCAAAUUCUAAGAGCUGAAUCUAUUUAUAUCUGACUAUUGAUAUAUUAAGAAAUGCCACAAGUUAAGACUUGUAUAGUUGCGGAAUAUCAAUACCUGUAUCUCGAGGAGAAUAAUCGAAUAAGGAUAGGCAAAAGCAAUGUCUCCGAGUGCCUGGAAAACUAACCAAAUCUUCUGAGCAGCACUCUUUGUUGGUACUCCCACAAUGCUUCCCUUGAUACCCCUAUUAUCGAUCACUUUAGAGAACCCAAGGCCCAAUCCGAUGAAAGAGUAACAAAAUGACAUUAGCGCAGCAACAACAGACAA